AGACCGAUAGCGAACAAGUAGAGUGAUCGAAAGAUGAAAAGCACCUUGAAAAGGGGGUUAAAUAGUACGUGAAAUUGUUGAAAGGGAAGCACUUAUGACCAGACUUGGGCCGGGCGGCUCAUCAGGGGUUCUCCCCUGUGCACUCCGCCCGGCACAGGCCAGCAUCGGUUUUCGCGGGGGGAUAAGACCGGCGGGAACGUAGCACCCUCCGGGGUGUGUUAUAGCCCACCGGACGAUACCCUCGCGGGGACCGAGGUCCGCGCUCCGCAAGGAUGCUGGCGUAAUGGUCAUCAGUGACCCGUCUUGAAACACGGACCAAG
RNAcentral lists this ribosomal RNA (320 nucleotides) under fungal sp. CL052. RNAcentral's name for it is "LSU rRNA". It matches the Rfam family "Eukaryotic large subunit ribosomal RNA", at positions 331 to 670 of the family's 3401-position model. Lineage: Eukaryota; Fungi. The record is from RNAcentral.